This is a non-coding RNA of Myodes glareolus (Bank vole), 500 nucleotides long. NCBI's taxonomy places the organism in Eukaryota, Metazoa, Chordata, Mammalia, Rodentia, Cricetidae. The record is from RefSeq and is a predicted model, not a curated record.
GCCCACUGCGCAGGCGCUGGCCUCAGACACCUCACAACCCGUGCGGCCCCGCGAGAGGCGUUGGGCGGGGCUGGGAGGGCGCGGCCUGCGGGCUGCGGUGAAGACCCGCCUCCUGCAGUCAGGUGGCCUGGCGCAGCCAUAUUGCACAGGCUCCACCCUCCGUCCCGUGGCCCCGACCCAGUGGGCUGGGUGCUCCUUCCAGCAAGGGAGUCUUCCGUCUAUCUGUAAAGAGAAGACGCCCGCGGACCCACCGUCCGCACGUCUGUUGAGGCUAGCUAUUAAGUGGUAGGGAAUAUAGUCGGUCAUUGAACAUCUCCAAACUGAGAGGCACCGCUGGGUACUCCGGUUCUCCACUGUUGGUAGAAAGAGGGCCAGCAGUUUGGUGUCCAGAAAUGCCUUCUUUUAGUCCCUCUUCCCCAAACCCUUAGGCUUGUUAACGAGAGACAGGCAGACACCUCAACAGCAACGAAACCAUGUCAGAAUUAAAUUUUGAUUGCAAA